RNAcentral lists this long non-coding RNA (5840 nucleotides) under Brassica napus (rape). RNAcentral's name for it is "long non-coding RNA (BNAP_LNC008734)". The record is from RNAcentral. Lineage: Eukaryota; Viridiplantae; Streptophyta; Magnoliopsida; Brassicales; Brassicaceae.
AGCAAACCUUAUCAGGAUCCUAAACUCUAUAGAAAACUAGUUGGUAAACUGAUUUACCUUACCAUAACUAGACCUGACAUUUGUUUUGUUGUGAAUCAGGUGAGUCAACAUAUGCAAGUGCCUAAGGAUCAUCACUGGCGUAUGGUGGAGAGAAUUCUGAUGUAUCUCAACGGCUCACCUGAUCAAGGAAUAUGGAUGGGUUGCAAUGGGAGCACUGAAGUGGUUGGAUACUGUGAUGCGGAUUGGGCUGGUGAUAGAGCAGACAGGAGAUCAACCACAGGCUAUUGCACAUUCAUUGGAGGCAACUUGGUUACAUGGAAGAGUAAGAAGCAGAAGGUGGUCUCUUGCUCAAGCGCAGAAGCUGAGUAUAGAGCUAUGCUGAAGCUUACCAACGAGCUGGUGUGGAUCAAAGGCAUCUUGAAGCAUUUGGAGAUUGAUCAAACCACGCCAAUGACAAUGCAUUGUGAUAACCAAGCAGCUAUCCACAUUGCCUCCAACUCGGUGUUCCAUGAGAGAACCAAGCACAUUGAAGUUGAUUGCCACAAAGUGAGGCAGAUGAUCAUCCUAGGAGUCAUCUUGCCAUGCUAUACAAGGAGUGAAGAUCAGUUGGCUGAUGUGUUCACCAAGGCUGCAAGACAGAAGACAAUGGAGUCCAUUCACAUCAGGUUGGGCCUCAUUGAUCUUGGGAAGAGAAGGAGCUGAUCCCCUUUCGCUGUGAGGUCUUUACUCUUUUUCCCUCAUCAAGGUUUUGUCCCAAUGGGUUUUCCUUGGUGAGGUUUUUAAUGAGGAAGAUUUCAUGGCUGUCCAAGCUUAGUUGUUCAUAAAGCUAAGCUUGAGGGGGAGUGUUGAGAUGAGUUGAGACAUUUGAGGUAAAGAGAAGGCUUGAGAGGUUAAGUAUGAAUGGAGAAGAAGGAGCUUAGGAGGAAUGGAGAAGUGAGGCUGAGGCAUCCGUACAAGGCCGUACAUGGCCGUACAUGGCCGUACAUGUCCAUACACACUUACCUCAGCCACGGUUAAGCCAAGAGUUACUUAAGUAACUUAACUAGAUAAGAAGAAGCUCUGAUCACUUAUCUGAAGGAUCAGACCGUUACCAAAGGAAGAAGGAGCGUGUGACAGCCUGUCUUGGGCUGGAAAGAAGAAGGCAUAAAGCAAAGAUGCUUCACACACGCGGUCACUCCUAUUGGAUAGUUCAAAUGCAUUCUUAUCCUAUCCAUUGACUUCACAUGCUUUCUCCUCUUGUAUUUCGAAACCCUAGAGACUCUCUCUUACUAUAUAAUGUAUCCUAAGCUCAUUAAUAAAGAUUAGACAGUUCUAAACAAAUCAAUCUCUCUAUACUUUUCACAAUGAUUCUCCAUUAGUCUCUUAAUCUCUUCUCUAUUCUUAUCUAAACUCAGAUUAUCUUUUACUUUACUCAAAUCUUAUAUGGUAUCAGAGCCAGGUUGAUUUCAAUCUGAGUUCUUGGCGUUUUUCUCUUGAAGAUUCAAACUUGAAACUUUGGGAGAUCAAGUGAGAGUGGUGUGAGUGUUCUUGGAAGAAGCUGCAUCCCGGGAGCUACAUCUUCAUACCGAAAGUCUUAUCUAGCUUUUUGAGGGUUCUUUGAAGAGUAAAGACAAGGCACGGAAGGGUUUGAGCUGGUGUUGUAGUUCUGAGUCUCAAGAUCAAGUCUUUUACAAGUUAUUGAAGUGAAACUGUUGAAGAUGGAGAGUGGUUCCAAGAUGAAGGUUGCUGUGACUUUCAAGGGAAGUAACUACCUAGUAUGGUCUAGGAUGGUGAAGACUGCUGUGGGAAGUAAGGGUUUAUGGAAGCACAUCACAUCUGGUGAGGCUCCAAAGCUCAUUACUCAAGGAGGAGACAAGGAGAGUGUCUCGGAAGCUGAAGCUGAGAAGUGGCAACAAGAGGACAUGGUGGUGAUGUCUGCUCUUCAUAGCUCGUUGGAGCCAGCCAUUCUAGAUGCUUACAGCUAUUGUGAGACAGCCAAGGAGCUGUGGGAAACAUUGAAGAAGGUGUAUGGAAACACCUCUAACCUCAGCCGGGUCUUUGAAGUGAAGAAAGCUUUGAAUGAUCUAACUCAGGAGGACAUGGAGUUCACUAAGCAUUUGGGGAGGUUCCGGACACUCUGGUCAGAGCUGGAGAUGCUGAGGCCGAGCACAACUGAUCCAGAGCUGCUAAAUGAAAGGAGAGAGCAAGAUAAAGUCUUUGGGUUGUUGCUUACAUUGAAUCCAAGCUACGGUGGGUUGAUUCAGCAUAUGUUGAGGGCUGAGAAGCUUCCGGACCUGGAGGAUGCGUGUGCUCAGAUACAAAAGGAGCAAGGCUCCAUUGGCUUGUUUGGUGGUAAAGGAGACUUGUCUCUAGCCAAUGCUGCGCGAACUGAUCAUGAGGAGAUACCACAAGCCAACAGAGCAGCACACGGCAAGUAUGAGGAUAGGAAGUUCAAUGGCAAUUGUGAUCACUGCAAGAAGCAUGGGCACAAGAAGAGCCAGUGCUGGAUACUACAUCCUCAUCUGAAGCCAGCGAAGUUCAUGAAGGAAAGGGAGGCAAGGGCUCAUGCUUCUGAAGGAACAAGUGGAGCCGGAUCAUCUAGCCGUGGAGCUGAAGGAGAGGGACGUGAGGGUGAUGGCAAGGCACUGGUGACAUACUCAGGAGCUCCUAACAUCCGUGGCAAUGAUCAAGACUUCAUCAGGAGAUCCGAGAUGGAUGCUCUCAUCAAAAUGCUCAAGGAGAAUGGUAACACUCAUGGAUACUCCUUUGGUGCAUCCAUGAUAGCUAAGACUAUAGAAACAUCUCCUUGUGUUGCUGAUAUUGCUAGGAUGGAUAGGGUUAAAGGCAAUGAACAUGCUAGACAUGAGUACACUUUUGCUAGAAAUGCUAGGAUAAAUCAUGAACUAAAUGCAUUUAGAUCACCUUUGAACCGUUGUCAUACUGCUAGCAAUAUAACUAAGCCAUUAAUUGUUGAUUCUGGUGCAUCUCAUCACAUGAUUAGUGAUACAAAUCUGAUUAAGGAUAUAGAACCAACUAGUGGACAUGUUAUGAUUGCAAAUGGAGACAAGAUCCCUAUUAGAGGAAUAGGAAAUUUGAAGUUGUUUGAUAAGAACACUAGAGCUUUCUACAUGCCUGAAUUUACAUCUAACUUGCUAUCUGUUAAGAAAUGCACAACUGAUUUGAAUUGCAAUGUUAUAUUCAGUCCUAAUGAUGUAAAGUUUCAGGAUAUUGAGAGCAGCCACGUGAUUGGAAAAGGAAUCACUAAAGGAGAGUUGUAUUUGCUUGAAGAACUUGAUCCUGUUUCCAAUUACAAUUGCUCAUUUACUACUGCUUCUAGUAUAAAUAAAAAUGCUUUGUGGCAUGCUAGAUUAGGACAUCCUCAUGGUAGAGCUUUAAACUUGAUGUUACCAGGUGUUUUAUUUGAGAAUAAGGAUUGUGAAGCUUGCAUUUUAGGCAAGCAUUGUAAAACUGUGUUUCCAAACUCUACUAGUGUUUAUGAUAAGUGCUUUGAUCUUAUUCAUUCUGAUGUGUGGACUGCACCUUGCAUAUCUAGAGACAAUCAUAAAUACUUUGUCACAUUCAUUGAUGAAAAAUCCAAAUACACCUGGUUAACUUUAAUCCCAUCAAAAGAUAGAGUGAUAGAUGCAUUUAAGAACUUUCAAGCUCAUGUGACUAACCAUUAUAAUGCCAAGAUUAAAAUUUUGAGAUCAGAUAAUGGAGGGGAGUACACAAGCUAUGCGUUCAAAAGUCAUCUAGAGCAUCAUGGGAUCUUGCAUCAAACAAGCUGUCCUUAUACUCCACAACAGAAUGGGGUAGCUGAGAGGAAGAACCGACACUUGAUGGAGGUUGCUAGGUCAAUGAUGUUCCAAGCAAAUGUUCCAAAGAGGUUCUGGAGUGAUGCUGUGGCUACUGCUUGUUACUUGAUCAACAGGAUUCCCACAAAGGUGUUGAAGGAUCAAGCACCAUUUGAAGUUCUAAACAAGCACAAGCCAUCAGUGGAUUACUUGAGAGUAUUUGGAUGUCUAUGCUUUGUGUUGGUACCAGGAGAGUUAAGAAACAAGCUAGAGGCAAGGAGCACUAAGGCUAUGUUUAUUGGCUAUUCAACAACACAAAAGGGAUACAAGUGCUAUGAUCCAGAUACUAGAAGAGUCCUAAUCUCUAGAGAUGUGAAGUUCAUAGAAGCUAGAGGAUACUAUGAAGAAAGGAAUCAAGAGGAGCUAAAGGAUCUAACGUCAGAUAAGGCAGGCGCCUUAAGACUGAUUUUGGAGGGUCUAGGUAUCAAGAUGAACCAGGAUCCAAAUGUGGGGAGUAGGAACCAACAUGAGAGUUCUCCGGCCCCUAGUGAAGCUAAUCAGUCACCUCACCUUGAUCGUGAGGGGGGCAGGGAAUCUGAAACUCAAGAAGAUGGUCAGGAUGGAGCCGGCUUGAGUGAAGAAGAAGAGAGUGUUUCAGGCUCUCACAAUCAAGGUGAUCAAAGCCAAGGAGAAGUAGAAGCUCAGGCUGAAGCACCAGAACCGAGUGUCCAAGAGGAGCAGGUUCAGAACCAACCAGUAUUGAGAAGAAGCACAAGGCUGAGAAAGGAUCCUUCUACUUGGGUAAACACGCGAGUGUACUACAAUGCCCAAGCUGUGGAGCAUCCUUCUCAAGCUGUGUGUUCCUUUGCUCAAUACCCUGAAGAACAUUGUGCCUUUAUGGUAAACUUGGAUGAGAACUACAUACCAAGAAACUAUGAAGAGGCAAUGAUGGAUAAAGAAUGGAAGGAAUCAGUUGGAGCUGAGGCAGGAGCCAUGAUCAAGAAUGAUACAUGGUAUGAGAGUGAGUUACCAAAAGGGAAGAAGGCUGUGAGUAGUAAAUGGAUAUUCACAAUCAAGUAUAAGGCUGAUGGAAAGGUUGAGAGGAAGAAGUCAAGGCUAGUAGCCAGAGGUUUCACUCAAACUUAUGGAGAAGAUUACAUAGAAACCUUUGCACCAGUAGCUAAACUACAUACAAUACGGAUUGUAUUAAGCUUGGCUGUGAAUCUUGGAUGGGGGUUAUGGCAAAUGGAUGUGAAGAAUGCAUUCCUACAAGGUGAACUUGAGGAUGAAGUAUAUAUGCAUCCACCUCCAGGCCUAGAACACUUAGUGAAGAGAGGAAAUGUAUUGAGACUGAAGAAAGCUAUCUAUGGGCUGAAGCAAUCACCAAGAGCUUGGUACAACAAGCUGAGCACUACUCUGAAUGGCCGAGGCUUCAAGAAGUCUGAACUAGACCACACUCUCUUCACACUCACUACUCCCUCAGGUAUGAUUGCACUCCUUGUGUAUGUUGAUGACAUCAUUAUCACAGGAAGUGAUAAGGAAGGUAUCAUAGCAACCAAGGAGUUUCUUAAAUCCAUGUUUGAGAUUAAAGACUUGGGAGAAAUGAAAUACUUUCUUGGAAUUGAGAUAUGUAGAUCCAAGGAAGGCGAUUUGGGAGAAAUGAAAUACUUUCUUGGAAUUGAGAUUUGUAGAUCCAAGGAAGGCUUAUUCAUGUCCCAAAGGAAGUAUACACUUGAUCUUUUGAAAGGUGCAGGUGCUUAUGGAGGCAAGACAGCAAGGAUGCCUAUGGAGGAUGGCUACAAAGUCCCACGAGAGGGGGAGAUUGAAGACAGCAAACCUUAUCAGGAUCCUAAACUCUAUAGAAAACUAGUUGGUAAACUGAUUUACCUUACCAUAACUAGACCUGACAUUUGUUUUGCUGUGAAUCAGGUGAGUCAACAUAUGCAAGUGCCUAAGGAUCAUCACUGGCGUAUGGUGGAGAGAAUUCUGAUGUAUCUCAACGGCUCACCUGAUCAAGGAAUAUGGAUGGGUUGCAAUGGGAGCACUGAAGUGGUUGGAUACUGUGAU